UAUGUGAUCGUCUCUCGCAUAUCAAUAAGCGGAGGAAAAGAAACUAACAAGGAUUCCCCUAGUAACGGCGAGUGAAGCGGGAAGAGCUCAAAUUUGAAAUCUUAAAGGGUUUCCCUUUACGAAUUGUAGUUUAAAGAAGUGUUUUCUGUUGAGGUUUUGGUAAAAGUUCUUUGGAAUAGGACAUCAUAGAGGGUGAGAAUCCCGUAUUUGACCUUUACUUUCAACUUUGUGAUACGCUUUCAAAGAGUCGGAUUGUUUGGGAAUGCAGUCCAAAAUGGGUGGUAAAUUUCAUCUAAAGCUAAAUAUUGGCGAGAGACCGAUAGCGAACAAGUACCGUGAGGGAAAGAUGAAAAGAACUUUGAAAAGAGAGUUAAACAGUACGUGAAAUUGUCAAAAGGGAAGCGUUUGACACCAGUGUUGUUUUUCUGAAAAUCAAUUAAAGAACUGUUUAUGCUAAGCUGUUUAGACUUUAUCAGCUAUCUGUUUAGUUUUGAGCUUUUCUUUAAUGCACUUUUCAGUUAACAAGUCAACAUCAAUUUCUUUUGCUGUAAAAAAGCUUGAGGAAGGUGGCUUGAGAUUCGUCUUAAGUGUUUAUAGCCUCUUGCCUAUGCAGUCGGAGAGAUUGAGGUCUGCAGCGUAGAUCCUUCGGGGCUAAAUGCAUUUGUGCUAAGUUAUAGCAUUUUAUAGACAACUUGUUGACUAUGAUUUGUCUUGUAGCUUACUCGCUUAUGUUAUUUUACCUACGCUUAGGAUGUUGACUGAUAUGUAGUCGUA
This 774-nucleotide ribosomal RNA is filed under the name uncultured Neocallimastigales. Its description in RNAcentral is "partial large subunit ribosomal RNA". It matches the Rfam family "Eukaryotic large subunit ribosomal RNA", at positions 24 to 644 of the family's 3401-position model. The record is from RNAcentral. Lineage: Eukaryota; Fungi; Neocallimastigomycota; Neocallimastigomycetes; Neocallimastigales.